ACGAAUGGCGUAACGAUCUCCCCGCUGUCUCUGAUGUGGACUCAGCGAAAUUGAACUGUGUGUCAAGAUGCACACUACCCGCGGUAGACGGAAAGACCCCAUGCACCUUUACUCUAGCUUCGCACUGGCAUCAGGAUUGUGAUGUGCAGGAUAGGUGGUAGGCUUUGAAGCGGGACGCAAGUCUUCGUGGAGCCACCCUUGAGAUACCACCCUUCGCACUCUUGAUGUCUAACCGCGGCCCGUUAUCCGGGGUCCGGGACCAUGCGUGGUGGGGAGUUUGACUGGGGCGGUCGCCUCCCAAAUCGUAACGGAGGCGCGCGAUGGUUGGCUCAGAGCGGUCGGAAAUCGCUCGUUGAGUGCAAUGGCAUAAGCCAGCCUGACUGCAAGACUGACAAGUCGAGCAGAGUCGAAAGACGGCCAUAGUGAUCCGGUGGUCCCAAGUGGGAGGGCCAUCGCUCAACGGAUAAAAGGC
RNAcentral lists this ribosomal RNA (472 nucleotides) under uncultured bacterium. Its description in RNAcentral is "bacterial LSU rRNA". It matches the Rfam family "Bacterial large subunit ribosomal RNA", at positions 1992 to 2464 of the family's 2925-position model. The record is from RNAcentral.